RNAcentral lists this microRNA precursor (90 nucleotides) under Glycine max (soybean). RNAcentral describes it as "miR156h stem-loop (gma-MIR156h)". Its record names the gene gma-MIR156h. It matches the Rfam family "mir-156 microRNA precursor family". Rfam says of the family: This family represents the plant microRNA (miRNA) precursor mir-156. Animal miRNAs are transcribed as ~70nt precursors and subsequently processed by the Dicer enzyme to give a ~22nt product. In plants the precursor sequences may be longer, and the carpel factory (caf) enzyme appears to be involved in processing. Lineage: Eukaryota; Viridiplantae; Streptophyta; Magnoliopsida; Fabales; Fabaceae. The record is from miRBase by way of RNAcentral.
CUUAGAAAUUGACAGAAGAGAGUGAGCACACAGAAGCACUUGGUAUAGUUAUAUACUGUUGCUUUUGCGUGCUCACUUCUCUUUCUGUCA